RNAcentral lists this long non-coding RNA (424 nucleotides) under Physcomitrium patens. Its description in RNAcentral is "long non-coding RNA (PPAT_LNC008572)". The record is from RNAcentral. Lineage: Eukaryota; Viridiplantae; Streptophyta; Bryopsida; Funariales; Funariaceae.
CAAUUGUACUAUUGAUAUAAUAGUACUAAAUAUUGCAUGUGGUAUUUUGUGGUACAUUAUAUUAGAAUUGUAUACUAGAGCUAGUCUGAGCAAAUUGUAGUGUAUGGAUUUAUGGUACUAGGCAAUUGUAAGUCAUAAUAUUAGGUGUAAUAUGAAGAGGUUGUAGAGAAUAACAAUAAGAUAUGAAGGCAAAGCUUGCAAUGCACAAGGAACAUGGUAUGGCAUUAAGAUCUGGAUUGUAGGACAUUGCAACGUAGGAGUAUUAUGGCAUUGUUAUUUUUUUAUUUUUUAUUUUUUUUUAUAUUUAAAUUUUUUGGCACAACAAAGCUUCAAUUAUGGUAUGAUAUAGGAAGAUUUAGAUAUAUUACGACACAUUAAACUUACCAAGUAUCACGUGAAUAAAUAAAAGUGUUGGUAUAGUACU